This 41-nucleotide non-coding RNA is filed under the name Plasmodium falciparum 3D7. Lineage: Eukaryota; Apicomplexa; Aconoidasida; Haemosporida; Plasmodiidae. The record is from RNAcentral.
UUCUUCUAUGGAUAAAUGUGUUGACCAAUUUAAUACUUUCU